CAGCCGCCGCGGUAAUACGUAGGUGGCAAGCGUUGUCCGGAAUUAUUGGGCGUAAAGCGCGCGCAGGCGGAUAGGUCAGUCUGUCUUAAAAGUUCGGGGCUUAACCCCGUGAUGGGAUGGAAACUGCCAAUCUAGAGUAUCGGAGAGGAAAGUGGAAUUCCUAGUGUAGCGGUGAAAUGCGUAGAUAUUAGGAAGAACACCAACGGCGAAAGCACUCUGCUGGGCCGACGCUGACACUGAGAGACGAAAGCUAGGGGAGCAAAUGGGAUUAGAUACCCGCGUAGUCCCUGUCUCUUAUACA
Molecule: ribosomal RNA, 301 nt
Filed under: uncultured bacterium
Lineage: Bacteria
Description: partial 16S ribosomal RNA
Rfam family: Bacterial small subunit ribosomal RNA
Source: RNAcentral